AGUGAACGCUGGCGGUAGGCCUAACACAUGCAAGUCGAACGGCAGCACAGUAAUAGCUUGCUCUUACGGGUGGGGAGUGGCGGACGGGUGAGGAAUACAUCGGAAUCUACUUUUUCGUGGGGGAUAACGUAGGGAAACUUACGCUAAUACCGCAUACGACCUACGGGUGAAAGCAGGGGAUCUUCGGACCUUGCGCGAUUGAAUGAGCCGAUGUCGGAUUAGCUAGUUGGCGGGGUAAAGGCCCACCAAGGCGACGAUCCGUAGCUGGUCCGAGAGGAUGAUCAGCCACACUGGAACUGAGACACGGUCCAGACUCCUACGGGAGGCAGCAGUGGGGAAUAUUGGACAAUGGGCGCAAGCCUGAUCCAGCCAUACCGCGUGGGUGAAGAAGGCCUUCGGGUUGUACAGCCCUUUUGUUGGGAAAGAAAAGCAGCAGGUUAAUACCCCGCUGUUCUGACGGUACCCAAAGAAUAAGCACCGGCUAACUUCGUG
RNAcentral lists this ribosomal RNA (492 nucleotides) under uncultured bacterium. RNAcentral's name for it is "partial 16S ribosomal RNA". It matches the Rfam family "Bacterial small subunit ribosomal RNA", at positions 29 to 507 of the family's 1533-position model. The record is from RNAcentral.